RNAcentral lists this ribosomal RNA (463 nucleotides) under uncultured bacterium. Its description in RNAcentral is "partial 16S ribosomal RNA". It matches the Rfam family "Bacterial small subunit ribosomal RNA", at positions 339 to 795 of the family's 1533-position model. The record is from RNAcentral.
CUACGGGGGGCUGCAGUGGGGAAUAUUGCACAAUGGGCGCAAGCCUGAUGCAGCCAUGCCGCGUGUAUGAAGAAGGCCUUCGGGUUGUAAAGUACUUUCAGUAAGGAGGAAGGCAGUUGCGUUAAUAGCGUAAUUGUUUGACGUUACUUCAGAAGAAGCACCGGCUAACUCCGUGCCAGCAGCCGCGGUAAUACGGAGGGUGCGAGCGUUAAUCGGAAUUACUGGGCGUAAAGCGCAUGCAGGUGGUCUGUUAAGUCAGAUGUGAAAGCCCCGGGCUCAACCCGGGAUGGUCAUUUGAAACUGGCAGGCUAGAGUACUGUAGAGGGGGGUAGAAUUUCAGGUGUAGCGGUGAAAUGCGUAGAGAUCUGAAGGAAUACCGGUGGCGAAGGCGGCCCCCUGGACAGAUACUGACACUCAGAUGCGAAAGCGUGGGGAGCAAACAGGAUUAGAUACCCUUGUAGUC